This 481-nucleotide ribosomal RNA is filed under the name uncultured bacterium. RNAcentral describes it as "partial 16S ribosomal RNA". It matches the Rfam family "Bacterial small subunit ribosomal RNA", at positions 28 to 506 of the family's 1533-position model. The record is from RNAcentral.
GACGAACGCUGGCGGCGUGCUUAACACAUGCAAGUCGAACGAUGAAGAGGAGAAACGCGAACUUCGGUUCAAAUUUCACUUCGGAUUAGUGGCAGACGGGUGAGUAACGCGUGAGCAACCUACCUCUUACAAAGGGAUAGCCUCGGGAAACCGUGAUUAAUACCAUAUGACACAUUCAUAAGGCAUCUUAAGAAUGUUAAAGCUACGGCGGUAAGUGAUGGGCUCGCGUCCCAUUAGCUAGUUGGUGAGGUAACGGCCCACCAAGGCGACGAUGGGUAACCGGCCUGGGGAGGUGAUCGGUAACAUUGGAGGAGGGACACGGUCCAAACACUUACGGGAGGGAGCAGGGGGGAAUAAGGCACGCUGGGGGGGACUCGAAGGCAUCGACGCCGCGUAAGCGAUGAGGGAAUGCGGUACGUAAAGCACUGUUCAAUGUGAAGAAAAGGACUGUACCAUAGGAGAAAGCCCCGGCUAAAUACGU